RNAcentral lists this ribosomal RNA (421 nucleotides) under uncultured bacterium. RNAcentral describes it as "bacterial SSU rRNA". It matches the Rfam family "Bacterial small subunit ribosomal RNA", at positions 355 to 774 of the family's 1533-position model. The record is from RNAcentral.
UAAGGAAUAUUGGUCAAUGGACGCAAGUCUGAACCAGCCAUGCCGCGUGAAGGAUGAAGGUCCUCUGGAUUGUAAACUUCUUUUAUCUGGGACGAAAACGGGAUUUUUAUCUCAAUUGACGGUACCAGAGGAAUAAGCACCGGCUAACUCCGUGCCAGCAGCCGCGGUAAUACGGAGGGUGCGAGCGUUAUCCGGAUUUACUGGGUUUAAAGGGUGCGUAGGUGGGCUUAUAAGUCAGUGGUGAAAUCUCCGAGCUUAACUUGGAAACUGCCGUUGAUACUAUAGCUCUUGAAUUAUCUGGAGGUAAGCGGAAUAUGUCAUGUAGCGGUGAAAUGCUUAGAUAUGACAUAGAACACCAAUUGCGAAGGCAGCUUACUACAUAUAAAUUGACGCUGAGGCACGAAAGCUUGGGGAUCAAACA